UCAAGUUAUUAAGGGUGCAGGGCGGAUGCCUUGGCACUAGGAGCCGAUGAAGGACGUGAUAAGCUGCGAUAAGCUUCGGGGAGUUGCACGUAAACUUUGAUCCGAAGAUUUCCGAAUGAGGAAACUCACUUAGAGUAAUGUCUAAGUAUCAUUAAGUGAAUACAUAGCUUAAUGAGGGGAACUCAGGGAACUGAAACAUCUAAGUACCUGAAGGAAGAGAAAGAAAUUCGAUUCCGUAAGUAGCGGCGAGCGAACGCGGAUUAGCCCAAACCAAUAAAGUUUUCUUUAUUGGGGUUGCGGACAUAUCAUAACGAAGAGGUAUCGUAAUUGAAGAGGUUUGGAAAGACCCACCACAGAAGGUAAUAGUCCUGUAUGUUAAACGAGAAGACUUCAGAUAUGAUCCAGAGUACCACGGGACACGUGAAACCCUGUGGGAAGCAGGAGGGACCACCCUCCAAGGCUAAAUACUACCUAGUGACCGAUAGCGUAUAGUACCGUGAGGGAAAGGUGAAAAGAACCCCGGGAGGGGAGUGAAAUAGAACCUGAAACCCUGCACUUACAAGCUGUGGAAGCACAUUUCUUGUGUGACCGCGUACUUUUUGUAGAACGGGCCAACGAGUUACGUUAAGUAGCAAGGUUAAGCACUUAAGGUGUGGAGCCGUAGCGAAAGCGAGUUUUAACUGAGCGUUCAGUUACUUGACGUAGACCCGAAACCGGGCGACCUACCCAUGAGCAGGAUGAAGCGAAAGUAAAAUUUCGUGGAGGUCCGAACCCACGAGCGUUGAAAAGCUCGGGGAUGACUUGUGGGUAGCGGUGAAAUUCCAAUCGAGCCCGGAGAUAGCUGGUUCUCCCCGAAAUAGCUUUAGGGCUAGCCUCAAGGUGAGAGAUACGGAGGUAGAGCACUGAAUGUCCUAGGGGGUAUUGCACCUACCGAAGACUAUCAAACUCCGAAUGCCGUCAUCUUAUACUUGGGAGUCAGACUGUGGGUGAUAAGAUUCAUAGUCGAAAGGGCAACAGCCCAGAUCGUCAGCUAAGGUCCCUAAAUGUAAGUUAAGUGGUAAAGGAUGUGGGAUUGCACAGACAACCAGGAUGUUGGCUUAGAAGCAGCCACUCAUUCAAAGAGUGCGUAAUAGCUCACUGGUCGAGUGAUCCUGCGCCGAAGAUUUCCGGGGCUAAAACUUACUACCGAAGCUACGGCAUCAGUAAUGAUGGGUAGGGGAGCUUCCCAUACGGGUUGAAGCAUGACCGUAAGGACAUGUGGACAGUAUGGGAGUGAGAAUGUUGGCAUGAGUAGCGAGAUGUGGGUGAGAAUCCCACAGGCCGUAAACCCAAGGUUUCCAGGGGAAGGUUCGUCCGCCCUGGGUUAGUCGGGACCUAAGCUGAGGCCGAAAGGCGUAGGUGAUGGACAACAGGUUGAUAUUCCUGUACUACCGAUAACCGUUUGAGAGAAGGGAUGACACAGUAGGAUAAGCUAAGCACACUGUUGGUUAUGUGUGCCCAAGCAUUGAGGCAGUCAAAGUAGGCAAAUCCGCUUUGAUAAUGCUGGGAUGUGAUGGGGAGCGAAAUUUAGUAGCGAAGUAGCUGAUUUCACACUGUCAAGAAAAGUCUCUAUCGAGGUUAAAGGUACCCGUACCGCAAACCGACACAGGUGGGUGAGGAGAGUAUCCUAAGGCCAGCGAGAGAACUGUUGUUAAGGAACUCGGCAAAAUGACCCCGUAACUUAGGGAUAAGGGGUGCCACCAUCAGGUGGCCGCAGAGAAUAGGCCCAAGCGACUGUUUACCAAAAACAUAGGUUUCUGCUAAGUCGCAAGACGAUGUAUAGGAGCUGACGCCUGCCCGGUGCUGGAAGGUUAAGGGGAUCUGUUAGAGCAAUCGAAGCAGUGAACUUAAGCCCCAGUAAACGGCGGCCGUAACUAUAACGGUCCUAAGGUAGCGAAAUUCCUUGUCGGGUAAGUUCCGACCCGCACGAAAGGCGUAACGAUUUGGGCACUGUCUCAACAACAGACUCGGUGAAAUUGUAAUUCCGGUGAAGAUGCCGGAUACCUGCGACAGGACGGAAAGACCCCAUGGAGCUUUACUGUAGCUUGACAUUGGGUCUUGGUACUACAUGUACAGGAUAGGUGGGAGGCUUUGAAACCAGGACGCCAGUUUUGGCGGAGCCAUCCUUGGGAUACCACCCUUGUAGUACUGGGACUCUAACCAUAGGCCAUGAAUCUGGUCUUGGGACACUGUCAGGUGGGCAGUUUGACUGGGGCGGUCGCCUCCCAAAAGGUAACGGAGGCGCUCAAAGGUUCUCUCAGUACGGUCGGAAAUCGUACGUAGAGUGUAAAGGCAAAAGAGAGCUUGAUUGCAAGACAUACAGGUCGAGCAAGGAUGAAAAUCGGACUUAGUGAUCCGGUGGUUCUGCGUGGAAGGGCCAUCGCUCAACGGAUAAAAGCUACCCUGGGGAUAACAGGCUUAUCUCCCCCAAGAGUCCACAUCGACGGGGAGGUUUGGCACCUCGAUGUCGGCUCAUCACAUCCUGGGGCUGUAGUAGGUCCCAAGGGUUGGGCUGUUCGCCCAUUAAAGUGGUACGCGAGCUGGGUUCAGAACGUCGUGAGACAGUUCGGUCCCUAUCCGUCGCAGGCGUAGGAAAUUUGAGAAGACCUGUCCUUAGUACGAGAGGACCGGGAUGGACGUACCUCUGGUGUACCAGUUGUUCUGCCAAGGGCAUGGCUGGGUAGCUAUGUACGGAAUGGAUAAGCGCUGAAAGCAUCUAAGCGCGAAGCCAACUUCAAGAUAAGAUUUCCCACCGCAAGGGUAAGACCCCAGAAAGACUAUCUGGUUGAUAGGUCGAAGGUGUAAGUGCAGCAAUGUAUUUAGCUUAUCGAUACUAAUAGGUCGAGGACUUGACCAA
Molecule: ribosomal RNA, 2896 nt
Filed under: Clostridioides difficile
Lineage: Bacteria; Bacillati; Bacillota; Clostridia; Peptostreptococcales; Peptostreptococcaceae
Description: bacterial LSU rRNA
Rfam family: Bacterial large subunit ribosomal RNA
Source: RNAcentral